GAUGAACGCUGGCGGCGUGCCUAAUACAUGCAAGUCGAGCGAACAGACGAGGAGCUUGCUCCUCUGACGUUAGCGGCGGACGGGUGAGUAACACGUGGAUAACCUACCUAUAAGACUGGGAUAACUUCGGGAAACCGGAGCUUAUCCCGGAUAAUAUAUUGAACCGCAUGGUUCAAUAGUGAAAGACGGUUUUGCUGUCACUUAUCGAUGGAUCCGCGCCGCAUUAGUUAGUUGGUAAGGUAACGGCUUACCAAGGCGACGAUGGGUAGCCGACCUGAGAGGGUGAUCGGCCACACUGGAACUGAGACACGGUCCAGACUCCUACGGGAGGCAGCAGUAGGGAAUCUUCCGCAAUGGGCGGAAGCCUGACGGAGCAACGCCGGGUGAGUGAUGAAGGUCUGCGGAUCGUAAAACUCUGUUAUUAGGGAAGAACAAAUGUGUAAGUAACUAUGCACGUCUUGACGGUACCUAAUCAGAAAGCCACGGCUAACUACGUG
RNAcentral lists this ribosomal RNA (497 nucleotides) under uncultured bacterium. RNAcentral describes it as "partial 16S ribosomal RNA". It matches the Rfam family "Bacterial small subunit ribosomal RNA", at positions 28 to 507 of the family's 1533-position model. The record is from RNAcentral.